This 465-nucleotide long non-coding RNA is filed under the name Phoenix dactylifera (date palm). RNAcentral describes it as "long non-coding RNA (PDAC_LNC002442)". The record is from RNAcentral. Lineage: Eukaryota; Viridiplantae; Streptophyta; Magnoliopsida; Arecales; Arecaceae.
GAUCUGUAAAAACAGUAAGAAAUCGUAUAAUGAGCUAGACAGCCCAGUAAGUAAUAAACACCUUACCUAGUCAAUUCAUAUAAUAACAUAAAAUAUAAAUACAAAUUACGAUGAAUCAACAUAAUAACAUAAUCAAUUCCUUUUCAAGCACAAAUUCAUUAAAAUUUGUAUUUUUGAAAUAUCCAUAUACAUAAUCAUAAAUCUGAUUCGAAACAAAUCACAUUCAUCUCAUCAGCCUUUAGCUACGACCACACUUAUACCCUGUGGCUAGGCCAGAAACAGAACUGCACUUAUACCCUGCGGAGUGGGCCAGAAUACCGCACUUAUACCCUGCGGAGUGGGCCAGAAUACCACACUUAUACCCUGUGGAGGGGCCAGAAUUGCCAAUGCAUAACCCCCUAUUGGCAGGGUCCAGAACAUAGCCAGGCUGAGAGUUCUAAAUCUGAUGCACAUCAAAAUUCUUUU